UUUUUUUUUUUGGUUGUUGUUGUUGGUUGGAGAUUUAAGGAUUUGGAUUAGUAGGUCACCUUAUAAAGAAAAAGAAUAUCAUUAAGCUACAAUUUGGAUUAAUUGUCAACUCCAUCUUUAUCAUGAAUCAUAUGGGUUCUUUUCUUUCCUUUAACAUAAUUAAUUAACGAUAGCUUAAAGUUUUGGAUUAAUUGACAACUGCAUCUUUAUCAUGAAUCAUAUGAAUUAUUUUCCCUCCUUAAACAUAAUAAUUCACGAUAUGUGAUGACAUUAAUAUAAUUCACACCUCACUCCCCUGCCGGCACCACUAAUAUUCACAAAAACAUCCAGACAAGUCUCUAUUUGUUCUUCCGCAUAUAUUCUAAAAUAUGCAUGAAUAAUUAAAUUAAUAAUUUCAAAAAGUCAUACUAGGUUUUUUAUGUACUUAGACAUAGUUAAUCUUUUAAACAACAUAUGAAUUAUGUAUUAAUUUAGGCUAAGACUAAAUAUGAUAUUUAGCCAAAUUAUAAAUUCUGGAAUCAACCAAUUAUAAGGUCAUAUAUAAAUAUUAUUAUAUUUAACUAACUUCAUUUAAGACUACCUAUAAUUAUACUCCCUCCGUCCCAGCUUUUUGUAUCCACUUUUAGUAGGGAUACAAAAAGCUGGGACAGAGGGAGUAUAUUUUAGAGAAUAUAUAUAUAUAUAUAUAUAUAUAUAUAUAUAUAGGGUAGGGUUAAUAUAAAAACCCCCUCUUAAGAUGAAAACUAGGAACCAAUUUAAAACCAUUGAUUUAAAUAAAAUAGAGGGCUGAGAUUAAACUACAGAUGCACAAUUUCGAUUGCAUAGAUGCACAGUUUCAAUUGCAUGGAUGCACAAUUUCGAUUUGCUUGAGUAUUUUGCAUUGUUGGUUUCAAUUGCAUAAAUUGCAUAUUUUUAAUUGCACAGUAAAAUAUAAUAGAUGCACAGUUUCUUUUGUUGACUAAAUCCUAACCAUUAGAUCUAAUAUUUAAAAGGUUAAGAUUAGCUUCCUAGUUCUCAUUUUAACAAAGGUUUUAUUAGAACAUCUUCCUAUAUAUAUAUAUACAUAGAAAUAAAUAAUAAAUAAGACAUACAUAUAUACAAUAACGAAUUAAAAAUAUUUAUAAAAUUAUUNGUAUAAUUUAGUAUUUUUUUACGUAAAAAAAUAAAAUAAUAUAAUAUAUAUAUAUAUAGGGUAGGGUUAAUAUAAAAACCUACUACUUAAGAUGAAAACUAGGAACCAAUUUAAAACCAUUGAUUUAAAUAAAAUAGAGGGCUGUGAUUAAACUACAGAUGCACAAUUUCGAUUGCAUAGAUGCACAGUUUCAAUUGCAUAGAUGCACAAUUUCGAUUUGCUUGAGUAUUUUGCAUUGUUGGUUUCAAUUGCAUAAAUUGCAUAUUUUUAAUUGCACAGUAAAAUAUAAUAGAUGCACAGUUUCUUUUGUUGACUAAAUCCUAACCAUUGGAUCUAAUAUUUAAAAGGUCAAGAUUAAGUUCCUAGUUCUCAUUUUAACAGAGGUUUUUAUUAGAACCUCUUCCUAUAUAUAUAUAUAUAUAUAUAUAUAUAUAUUAAUUUAAUAGUAGUGUUAAUUGUUUUUAUAAAUUUAUUUAUCUUUAAAUUCAUAAUAAAAAGUAAUAUUAAUACUCCCCUAAUAAAAUUCAAAUAAUUGUAAUGCCACAUAAAUUAACCACACAAAAGUUUUCCCAAUUAAUAAAGAUGAAAAAAAUAGCUUGGUUGAAACUUAUAAAAUGAGAGAGAGAGAGAGAGUAAUAUAUAUCAAAUUAAAGUUUGUGUCAUGAUCUUUAAUUGGAUAUACAAAGGGAUUCACCAUAAUAAAAAAUUGUAUUAUGAAAAGGUAAAACAAAUGUUAAAAAAUAAAAAUAAAAAUAAAAUAAAAAAGAAUUAAAAAUAAAUUUAUUCAAAAAAAGAUGAGAGUUGAGAGAUUUUUUUUAAUUUAAAAAUAAAUAAAUUAAAAGUUUUACAUUUUAAAUCAAAUAUUUACAUAAAAAUAUAUCAAAUUAAAGCUUUUAUCGUGAUCUUUUAAUGUGAUAUGCAUAUUAAAUAUUUUAUAAUUAGUCGAAUUUCACUAUUUUAGAAAGAAAUAAAGUAAAAAAAAAGAUAAAUAAAAAGAAAAUAAAAAAGGAAAUAUGUAAUUUAUAAAUAAACCUUUAAUUUUAUUAUAACUACAAAAUUAUUACUUAAUUUUGAAAUCAAUUUAAAAUUGAUGACAAAUUGAAAUCUUAAAUUUGUAAUAAUAGAUAUACAGUGAUUUUGACAAAGCGUAAAAAUUAAAAUAGAUAAUUAGAGGAAAAAUUCUAAUCAACGUCCCACGGCCACGUCCAAUAUAAUAAUAUUUUAUUAUUAAAAAUCAAAUUAAAAAUUCGAGUAUCAACAUCCAUUCCUCGGUACAGCAUGGUGAAUUACACAGGUCGCAUUCAUUAUAUCAGAUCAAUUCACCACAGUUAAAUUUGCAUACGGCUUUCAUCAAAUUAAUUAACUUCCGAUUGAUUUUUCUUUCUAUCACACUGAGUGGUGGGGAUGGGGACACUAUUUGAAAAUGGGGCGUUAACCAUAAAAAAAUCAAUCAUUAAAAAUGAUAAAUCGGUCAUUAGCUAGAAAAUCUAACGAUUGAAUUAACGAUCAAUUUGAAGCAAAUGGAUCUCAUAGCUCUCAUAGUACUCUCUCUUUCUUCUCUCACUUUCAAUUUGAUAGCCUUGAGGUUUAAGGAAAGAGAAGAAUCCAUGUGAUUCAUGAUAAAGAUGAAGUUGUCAAUUAAUUCAAAACUUUAAGCUAUCGUUAAUUAAUUAUGUUAAAAGGAAAGAAAAGAACCCAUAUGAUUCAUGAUAAAGAUGGAGUUGAUAGACAAUUAAUCCAAACUUUGUAGCUAAUUAAUGAUAUUCUUUUACUUCAUAAGGUGACCUACUAAUCCAAAUUCUUAAAUCUCCAACCAACCAACCUAAAAAACUCAAAAUUCAGAAGAAAAAAAAAACUCUAGCAGAAUGAGCUCGUUUCAAAAGCUAGCUACAAUAUAUACUUUUCCAUUGCUUGUCACGUUAUUUUCCCAAUAAUGAGAUAAAAAUUCUUUCGGCUAUCUAUCUUCCUACAACAAAAAUCGAGUUAUUAUUUAAACAAAUAAUUAAAAAUUGUAUCCAAUAUCAUAAUUCGCUCAUCAAAUAUGUGAAUAUAUAUUUUGGCAAUUAAUCCCAAAGAUUAUUUGCUAUUGCAUGCUUGGUCUCUCUCCCUCUUUUUUUUUUUCCUUUUUUUUUUUCACUUGUUAGCUGUUAUCUGUAAAUUAACAGGAUCAAAUCAGAACUUAGAGAAAAAGUUCACAUAUAAUAUAUUAAUAUGCAGUGUAUUUUAGUAUUUUCGAUGAUACUUUAAUUACUUAUACAAAAUCUUAAUUAUUGUUUUGGGUAUAUAUGGAGGAACACGAUAUCAUCACACAGUGGCAAUUACAAUCUUAACGUGACUCAUUCUGCACUUAUAUAAAUGAAUAUAUGGGCCCUUUGAUUGCGUCCUGCUUUCUUGGGUUUUUUAAGGUUUUUUGUUUUGCAAUAAAAUCGUAUUUUAAUAAAUGAAUAUAUGGGCAUCAUACGUGUUGCCUUGGUUAAUCAUUUCAUAUUAUAAAACCUUAGUUUUUUGUUUUGAUAGAUAAAUCUUCAUCAACAUGUAUAUGAUACAUCCAUUACUCGAGAUUCUAUCACGUUGUUGCUAUCUAGUGAACUAUAACCUCAUUUUUAGUGGUCGUUUGGGGACAUCCAAAUACUGGAGACUCUCUCUGUAAAUAUUGCACGUACUCACAAGUUAAUAUUUGCCAUAAAUUUUUGUUAAACAUAUGACUAUGAGUCAAUUAAGAUGGGUGACCAACUGGAAAGUUCGUCUAACGUAUACAAUUAAGUUAAAAAUAUAGUAUAAAUACAGAAAUACUUGUGAGCUAGGUAUAAAUAAAUAAAAUACCGCCGGCAACCACCGGCGGUGACGUCUGACAAUAGCGCCACCGCCGUCCGAUCAACAUUACCAGCAGCGAUGCUCCCGCUACUAAUCACCAACGGCGGAGGCGCCGGUAAAACUCCGGUAAAAGAUCACCGCUCACCGACGAUCUUUAGCGGCAGCGGCGCCGUUAAUUACCAGCGGCCGUCUUUUACCGCCGGUACUAUUGAAGUCAUCGACGAGCGAAAUACCGGUGGCGAGAGGCCGUUGGCAACCAUUUUUCCGGCGGUAUAUGUAUGAUUACCGGCGGCAUUGAGCGUGUUUUUUGUAGUGCUCGUAGUAUCUAAAAUGUCUUUGAUGCAUCAUAACAUGAUAAAAAUAUACUUAUAUUGCCGUCGGUAAUCAGCGUAUUUUUUGUAGUGCUCUUAGUAUCUAAAAUGUCUUUGAUGUAUCGUAACAUGAUAAAAAUAUACUUAAUAUUAGUUUAUAUUAUAACGCUCUAGAACAUAAGAUUUUAAUAAGUCGAUCGGAUCGUGAGUGUUAUUAAUACAUGCAUCAAAGCUUUCUCAGCUUCAUUCAUUCUCUCUCUUCUUGUGGUAAGUAAUUAAUUAAUAAUGUUUCUCUCUCUAGCCCACCUCUCUAAUUUCAUAAUAUUUUCUUCAAUAAUUGUUAACAAAACUUUCAUGUGUUGUUUCAGUAUGGCUAUUUUUGUGAUGCACGAAAAGAUCUAGGAGAGCUGUAGAAGGCUGUAAUGGAUGAAGAAACUAUGCCUGACACAAUAAAAAAUCCUAGCUUACGUUCUAUUUUUGCACAUGAUCCAACCAUCAACUAUAUUACAAUCCUUUAAGAGGUGAAGAGAGGUGUCUAAUAGAUCAAGAAAGGGACCUAUAUAUAAGCAUAUGGAAUAAAUAUAGUACAAAAUUCAAAAAUACUGAUAAAAUUCGAAAAUUCUUGUCGGCCACUAUUCACUAUUGCGUGUGAUUUUCUUGUUUCGGCCAUAUCUCCGUCGUACGAACUCCGAUUGGCGAUCCGUUUACGCUCAUGAACUCGUAUUGAGAUGAUCUACAACUUCUAUUUCAGACCAUUCUUCCAAAUUCGGCUUCAAUAUUUCUAAAAUUUCCAUCAAAGUUCGAGUAAGUAUCAUAUUUCUCAAGAUAUAUAAAACAAUAUAAACACGAAACAACUAUCCAACACUCAAUUUCUUAUAAAAUUGACAUCGUAUGAACAUUAAAAUGCAUAGAAACAUGAGUGUUAUCAAACCUUAAUUAUUUAAAGUUUAUAAAAUUCACAAUUUAUACUUUGUCUUUCAAUUAAUAUAGUCAAAUGUAGAAUAAAUAAUGCCAGAAUUGAACAAUUGUAUAUAAUUUAUAUUUUCCAAAUAAAAAUAAUCACAUUUUCUAAAUGUGUAAUAAAGGGGACAAUCAAGGUGGGACGGAUGGGAUAGAUCCAGUGCCCCACAAUUUUAUAUGUGUCACUAUGUCAUGCUUAUAUCUAUUAUUUUAAUAAUAUUUUUUAUAAAAAUAAAAUUUAUUACUAUAAUACUAUGAAUUAUAUUUAAUUCUUAAUUAUUUUAAAAAAUUAUUUUUUUUAAAAAGUAUAUACCAUGAUUUUGAAUUUAUCAACCUAUUAGCAGCUAAUAAAAGUGAAAAUAAAUGAUAAAAAAUAAAUAUAUACCCUAGAUUGAUGGUAUAAACCCUAGUUAAUAAUCCCAAAAUUAAACUAAAGCAUUCAAUAUCGAAAUUAAAGAAAAAAUAAAUAAAAUUAAAAGUUGGACACAAAAUGGGACAUCAAAUAUGGUACAGUGAAUCACAUUUGGGGUGGGAGGGAGUAAUACUCAUAGGCUUAUUCGUUGCCAUUCUGCUUGGGCUCGAAGGCUUGUGCAUCAUCAGUUGUGUACAAUUUAGCAAAUCAGAAACAAAUACUAGGAUUUCAUAAUUUGGGUUGAUAUUCUUUGAGAAACAAAUAGUUUUCGUCAAAGUAAAGCAUCUCAUGUUGGCUCAAAUGAAUCCACGCCUCAAUCCCAUGUCCCUCUUUGUCGCUCAUGAGCAACACAAAGUUGUUACCCGACGGCCCAUUAAUGUGAAUGCGCGUCCAAAGAGGCGUCCCCCAUCCGAAAUCACAGUCGUGAAAUUGAAACCCACUACAAUCAGUGAAAUUUAUAAUAUUGGUUUCAGGUUGGCUCACAUGUUGUAUCAAUCUUUCCAUAGUAUCUGUGUAGAUAUGGCGUCCAUCCACAUCAGGAGACAGAAUCUCGGCAUGACGAGUUAUGGCAUUUCGAACAGACUCUCCCAUUAGAAGAACAAGUUGAUCAACACCAACGUCAGCGCCGGCUUGUAUGCAUCUCGUCAUUGCUGGCACCGCGAAAUUCCCACAAGCGUGUCUGGACUGAGGUGGGAUUGAUCUCUCCCGCAUGUCCACCGCUUGCAAUAUGACGGACCUUCUGCUUCUGCCGUGGAUGGCGCCAUCCACCCGGAUUAGGGCUUUGGCUAUGACGGCACACACAACACGCACUCCAGAUAAGGCUUUUCCAUCGGUAUGUCUUAUUCUUAAUUUUAGGCUCCUUAAAGUCUCCUUGUUGAACAAAACCCUCUUCAAAGCAACGUUGUGAUCCGCGCCCACACGCUGUUCCCCAAAAUCAGGGGCCUGCUUGCUCACGGACGGAAGCAACGAGGAGAGAUGGAAAGUCGGGUUUACCUUCUUAUCAUGAUACGGAUUGGCGGCGUCCGACCAGGCGACCACGAACGUCCACAGCGACGACCCGUCCAAGACCUUGUGGGAACGCUGAUGGCGAUCGCGGCCCCGCCACACGAGAAACGUGUGAUCUGGAUCGAGAGGAGUGGAUUUUCAGGAGCUUCGUCGCGUCGGAAAUGUUGGUCUGGGAGGAGGUCGCGGAGCUCAUGGAUCUCCAUUUCUGGGCCGAGGUCCAUCAGCUCGACGUCUAGAGCCUCUGCUUCCACGAGCUCCGCUCCCUCAUCGCUGCAAUCAAUCCAACUAUCCUUCUUCAUAAAUCUUCCUGCAAGAGGAUAGAAUUCAACCAGGAUUCUGGCCAGUGAUGCUUCCAAGAUAUGGCUGCCGGCAUCUUCUGCUAUCGAUUCGUAAAACAGAACAACAGCGUUAUUAAUUGGGCGAACAAGCUCAUCUAUAAACGACAACUUGUAAUUCUUGAGGUUUUGAGGGGUUGGGGUGUGUGGUUUUACCAACUUGCUGCUGAUUUUAUUCAUCUUCAUUUUUUUUUUAAUUGAUAGUACUGGAGUGAAUACUUGAUACACACAAAACUAGUGCUCUAUAUAUAAGCAAAAGUUGAAUUAUUAAUUAAUAAAAGUUACAAUAAAUGAUACUUUCUCGGUCCCACUAAUUAAAAGUGACCAGUAUUUCAUUAAAAAGAUGUAGGCAAAUUUAACCCUUAAAAAGAUGUAGGCAUUGUCACUUCUAACUAAUUUACAUUUUUUUCUUAAUUCUCGUGUCGAAAAGUUUUGAGCUACUUAUAAUGGGACGGAGGGAGUAAAAAAAAUUAUACUCCUAACUAGGGCUGACAAAUCAUGCGUAUCAGAUCGUUAUCGAAUCGACACGACAUGAUAAGGACAAACAUGACCACGAUCCAGGCCAAUGACCUCUUGCUUGUAAGAGAGAGAGUUUAAAUAUGAUCUUGCAAUAGAAUUUUAGAUAUAGAUUCUGAGCAUUUGUCAAAUUUCUGUGAACAUGACUAAUAUCAAAAUAGUCAGCAAAAAAUUGAUAAAACCGUGCAUCCCCAGCUCCUCUAAAAUCUCACGAUCUACAAAUUAUAUCAUUUCUAGAUAAGAUUAACAUUACUGAUUUUGCUAGUGGUGAGAGCGAAGUAAAUUAGUGAAGGAAAUCGUAAUUGUAGAGCUGGUGGGUACAACUACCCUUCACCAUUAUUCAAUAAAUAUUAAAUAAUUUGUCCCUACACCAAAAGUGUUGGCACACAUCUUUUAAUAAAAUAAACAAUAUUAUAUAAAAUAAAGGAAUGACAAAGCAAAAUUAAUUUAUUAAGUAAUUAUUAAAUGAUAUGAAUAUGAUUUUUCCUAAAAAAAUAUUGAGUGCGAAUGAGAAUGAAAAUAUAAGAAUGUGUACAAAAAUGUAAAUGCCACUAGGGCUGGUAAACCGGUCGGUUCGAUUAAAAUCGAACCGGUUUACCGGUUAAUCGGAACCGAAUUAGACCCUGUGGAGUAACCGAAAACCGAACCGGUUUAUGGUCCGGUUAACCGAAUAACCGGUCCGAUUUGAUCGGUUAAUUCGGUGAUUUCGAUUUCGGCCAGGAUUAACCGGUUAAUCGGUUAACUGAAUUAAUCCCAAAAAAUUCAAAAUUAAUGAAUUUGUAGGAAGUGGGGUUCGAAUCUUGGCCUUUCAAAGAAAGGAUGAGGUCCUAUCCACUCCACCAACUAAUAUUUUAUGCUUAUUAAGAACACAAAAAUAUUUUAUAAAGACUUAUAAGGUUAUAUUAAAAAAAAAAGAACAAUUUUAAUUCUAAUAAAUACAUUCCCAACCUAAGCAACAAUUUAACCACAAAUCAAUGCUAUAAAAUACUGAACUGGAGUGGACACAAAAUGCAGUGAAACAGAGGUGGCAAAAAGUCAUUUUUAUAGUUUUAUAUUUUCUUUCGUUUGAAGGAUGGUAAUCCAAUCUCGCUUACGAGAAUUAAAGGAAUAAAGUGGUGACUAUAUUCUGUUACACAAUAAAGCUCAACUCAACAAUGAGCCAAUGAGAGGCAUUUUCUGUUACAAAUAUAUAAAGAAAAUUGUUGUCGAAAUUCAAGACACAUGAUGACUAUAUUCUUUAUUUCAACUGGACUAUUUGCACAUGCAAGCAUAAAUCCAUGCAAUGCUUUUGGACAGAGUCACAUAAUUUUGAGAUUUAUCAUAACACUAAUACACAAUAGCAUCAACCUUCGAGCAACUCCUUUUCAUUUCAUCUCAUAUAUUAAGUAUUGCAAUUUUUUUCCCUAUUGUCGCACACAACACAACCGCAUAUUAAACUGUAUAACUACAAAGUAAAGAUUCAUAUUAGCAGCGGAAUGCUGAAUUUCUGCACUGCAGUUGAGACACACUAGCAUACGAAAUUGAAUAGAUUUACAUAAUGGUCAAAGUUAGCAGGAGCAACAUUUAUUUUACCUUUUGAAGGCACUCUCGAAACGGCCAAACUGGUAUUUGUCUAUGGCAAAUUGGACAGCCGGGAUGGUGAAGGAGGCUAUGGCAGCCGGGAUGGCGGGCGGAAGUUGACGAUGGCAAAUGCAGCGGCGGAUGGGAGAAAGGGGCUGGGAGAGCGGUUGCGUCCUGCCGCCUAUAGGCUGAGCAGGGGGGAGCGGUGCCGGUGCCGGUGGGAAGACACGCCAGUGCUGGUGGGAAGAUGCGCCGGACGUCGGAAAAAGAAGGGAGGCACCGCAAAACGUGAAGUGCAGAACAGCAGAAGGGGACUGGGAGAGCGGCUGCGUCCUGCCGCCUGCAGGCUGAGCACGGGGAGNGGGGAGGGGGAAAGAGCGGCGUCGGUGCUGGUGAGAAGACACGCCGGUCGGACGUCGGAAGAAGAAGUGAGGCGCCGCCCGCAAAGCCUGAAGUGCAGAACAGGCGUGAAUUGAGAAGAGAAGUGAGACGCGAGAACCCUGACUAAUUUGAUAUAAAAUAAAAUAUAAAACAAUUAAUUUAAUAAUUUAAGUAAAUCGGUUAAUCGGUUUUACCGGUUAAAUCGAUUAACCGGUUAACAGAGAUAUAACUAACCGAUAACCGAACCAAACCGAAAAAACUGAUUUUUUCGGUUCGGUUACAGUUUUAACCGAAAAACCGACACCGAAUUACCAGCCCUAAAUGCCACACUUAUUAUAAACAAAUCAAUAUUGCAAAAAUACUAUAAUUCACGUGGACGAGGGGACGUUUAGAUCGGAGCACACACAAACCGAAAGGAAAAACUCACACAAAAAAGACUAAACAAAUUACUAGCUGAUGAGGGAUGAAAUAUGUACUGCCCUGAGAUCUCGACAUGUGGCUUACUCGGACAAAUUAGAGAAUCAGAGAAGACAGAAAGUAUGCCAGAGACGGAGCUUGGGACCAAACCCCAAAGACAGAGCUCGGGACCAAACCCCAGAGACAGAGUUCAGGACCAAACCCCAGAGACGAAGCUCAAGACCAGACUCUAGAGACAAAGCCCCGAGGCCAGACUCCAGAGACAGAGCCCGAGGCCCGCAACAAGAGAGAGAAACCAGGACCAUAUUCCAAAGAUGAAGCUCCAGACCAGAUUUCCACGGUUUUGCACUAAAUGACAGAGAUCCCGACGAUGAUCUUACACCUUUAUUGUACCGUAUCCAUCUAGGUCUAAGUAGUUAGUGCGCGGAGCGCGUGAAAUAUUGUAAAAGUACUAUGAUACCCCUCCUUGUAACAACUAUAAAUAGCCUUCUUCCAUAAUGAAAAACACAUGAUAUUCACCACCCAAAACACUAUAAGGCUUUUUAUCUUGUGUUCAUGGAAACUCAGGUGAACCAAAAGAAAUCUCUCACCGUUGAAAUACUUUAGUUUAAUUCUUUACUCAUCAACUGGCGCCGUUUGUGGGAAAAAAGUCUAAGACGUGAGGAAUUAUCGAGCGAUUCUGCUUUUUCGGAGUACUCACCGAAGUUCUCUAUCUUCGAGGGGGUAUUCUGGAUCGAAAGACAUAAAACAUCGACCAAAAUGUCCAAAAAUUAAGCAAUUUAUGUUACCAUUGAAAGGCUGAAUCAGUUGUGGGGUGGAAGUUUACCAGCGUUAUGUUUUAGCUUCGUUUUUACUCUAAAUUUUUGUGUUCUCGUCUUGGAAGCCAUGUUACAUGUGUACUUUUAUAUGAUUAUGAAAUAUGUGCAUUGAUUUGAAAGUUGUAAUCGUUUUAUGAACGUGUGGGCGUCGAUCUGGAGGUCAUCAGUGUGUAUGAAAUGGUAUAUAUAGGUUGAAAAACCUUCCUCGUGCCAAAUGAUCACUCUAUGAUCUAGGUCUGGAAUGAUACAACGCCAUGUACCUUUGCGUGUAUGUGUGGAUCUAAGAAUCUGGAGUAAGUUGAAAUCCGUGUGUUUCUGUGCUUAUAAGUAUUGUUCACCUUCUCGCAGUAGAAAACUUCGAUUGCGUAUUUUUCUGUGCAAAAUUUGGUUAAGCUUUCCAAAACUGAUUUGCUAUCUGUGAAUGUUGAAAUUUUGGUUAAGUUAAUUUCCAUCUCGUGUUCUGCAAAGUUAGUUGCGUGUCUUUUGAUACGAUAUCUGUGAAAUCAUAGAGAUCAUUAUAACGAUUAUACUCACAGUCUGAUGGAAACUCAGAAAAUGGAGGACACCACUAUUCCUCAGAAUCUUGAUAGGUAAUUCAAGAAGGAAGCCAAUAACGUCAAUCUCCAUCAGACGGGAAACGAUAAAGUAACCCAUUCUGUUGGAUUAACACCACCAAGGACAACUAAGCUAGUGCACUCCACUCCCUUGCAGGUUAAUACAGGGUUGUCGUAGACAAGACCCUUCUCACUAUACCAGAGCAACUGUUGUCAUUACUCAACUAUACCUGUAUGAGACAGAUGAUGGGGAUCCCAUUCACUCCCUUGACCCUUGGAGUUUCGCCGGCACCAGGAAUACAUCUCCGUUUAUAGGAAGUUUGGGAACUACGCUACAACUAGUUCUGGAAGGACAUAAUUUGAACAGGUCUGACGUUAUAAGGCGUUUAGGACAAACCGAGCCAUUGUACCCAAAGGAUAUGGAUAACAUUGAAGACGUGGAGGACACUUCAAGUAAAACCUCCAAAAGAACGGAACAUCAGACCAAAGAGACGUUACCUGUAGACCUAGAGUUGUUAAAGGAAAGGGUUUCCCUCAUGCAAAAGCACAUCCGAGAGCUGGAAGCAAUGAUAGAGGGGAAAGAGCACCAUGCGCAGACCGCCAAAGAAGUGAGGGAGAAGGAGAAGAGCCGAAUAGCUGUAUCCAGAAAAAAGGCAGCAUUCUCAUGAUGAGCAACAACAAGAAAUGACGAAGAGGACGGUCAGGAGGAAGAGGAGUGGAUCCAUUCUUCCCACCCCGGGAAGAGCAUAGCACAUAACUCUCGGGCGCUAUACGGAGAAUGACAAAAGAAUAGGCGAACGACAGGGGGACGUGCUUACAUCCCGCGUCUCCAAUCUAGCCCUUUCUUGGAGGAAAUCUUGGUUGACAUCCUACCUAGCCAUUACAAGCCAAUCAAUAUGGAAUAUGAUGGUUCCGAGGAUCUAGAGGUACACAUGGCCAUAUUCGAAACCGUGGUGAUGCUUCACCAAUACUCUGAAGGCAUUAAGUGUCGGUUAUUGUGAGACUCAUAACACCUAUCUAAUUUUAAUAAUACUAGACUGAAGCAUAAAUUGGAUUAAUUGUUUAUUGAUCUGAUUCUUGAACUGAACCUUUAUCAAAUUCAGUCUAGUGCUCACUCUCAAACUUGAAACUCUUAGACUGAAAUUUUGUGUCAUAUCCUUAGUAUCAGUCAAGAUUACUUCAGUUUAUGAAAGUGAGUUUUUCAAAAGAAGCUUUAAAAGUUUUAAAAGUCAAAAUUAGUCUUCUGGUGUAUUCCCUCCCCCCCAAUACACCAGUUCCGUAACCCUCAUGGGCCCAACAUUGUGAACUUGCAAAUAUAUUAUUUUUGAAAUUACAAUAUAUGGUAUUGUAGAAUUACGUUGAUAUUGGUACUUGAUUAAAUUUAAUGAUUUUGUGUGAAUUGAUUUGUCUGAUUAGUACUGCGUUUAAAACUAAAGAAUUGAGAAAAACACAUUUGGUCUUUUUGAAUAAAUCUAUAUAAAAUUAGCGAUUGCAAGUAUAAUGUGACUCAUAACAUAUAUCAAUUAAAUAAAAUUGGUAUCAAUUAUAAAUGUGAGAAUUUAUUGUUAACGAGUGAUGGUAAAGUAUAAAAUUUGAAAAUCAAUAUAAAAAAAAGGAAAAGUUUAGUUAAUCAGGUAAUUAAGUUGAUUUUCAAAUUAAUUCUAUUGAUCUAAACCCUUAAACUUCAAUCAUAUUGGAUUGUCAAGCUAUUUGAUUAUAUGUCAUUCAAAUUUGAAAUUUUCACUUUUUAUAUUCAAUUUAUCCAGAAUCAUCUAUUGAUUUCUGAUUAAAUUGAUAUGAAUUUAAAAAGUAUAUUCACAAACUUUAUGUAUAUAAGAAAGCAUUUUAAAUUUUUUUUAUGAAGCUAAUAUAUUUUUUUGCCUUCUUUGUAUAACUUCAAUGCGUAUAUUUUUUUUCAUUUAAUCAAGCUCUUAUAUAAAUUUAUAUGUACAAUAUUAUAUCAUGAAAUAAAAUGAUCCUGUCACAUAUGCGUAGGUGAUAGACUAGUUAUGAUAAUUUAGUAUAACGAUCAUCUUCAAGAGGUUCAUGAAGAUGUAAUUGAUUUCCAAUUAUUAACUAUAUAUGACGGAAUAUACAUAUAAUUAAUACAAUCCAAAUUAUUUAUUUUCUUUAAUUACUCAAAUAUUAUCUAUCUAUCUUUAAACUUUAUCAUAUUAAAAAAAAAAGCAUAAAUUAGGGUGCUACGUAUACAUAUAGAAACAAACAUUAAACAUAUCUGAUUGAUUUUCAUUUAAAUACAUAUUUGAUCACAUACAAUGGAUACAUUUAUUCGAAGAGCAUAUAGAGGCUUAUCCACCUUCAUACAUUAAAAUUACUGAUAGGCGACAUGAGACCACACGCAAUAACAUAAACACGAGACAACAUACAACAUGAACUUGAUAAUUAACUUUUUCACUUUCCUGACUUAUCUCCAAUCGCAUCGUCAUGGUCAUCAGCAUCUAUAAGGAUAUCAGGUUUUGGCUCAAAAUCUUUGCAGAAGAUUUCUCACUUGUGGCUUUGUGACCAUCCUCAUUGGAAUUGUCAUGAUUAAUUAUAUAGAAAGAAAUUGGGUCUUGGCUCAAAAUCUUUUACAGAAGAUUCCUCAC
This 13821-nucleotide long non-coding RNA is filed under the name Salvia miltiorrhiza (redroot sage). RNAcentral describes it as "long non-coding RNA (SMIL_LNC005020)". Lineage: Eukaryota; Viridiplantae; Streptophyta; Magnoliopsida; Lamiales; Lamiaceae. The record is from RNAcentral.